GUACACGCUGUGACUAGCAUAUCAAUAAGCGGAGGAAAAGAAACUAACAAGGAUUCCCCUAGUAACGGCGAGUGAAGCGGGAAGAGCUCAAAUUUGAAAUCUUAAAGGGUUUCCCUUUACGAAUUGUAGUUUAAAGAAGUGUUUUCUGUUGAGGUUUUGGUAAAAGUUCUUUGGAAUAGGACAUCAUAGAGGGUGAGAAUCCCGUAUUUGACCUUUACUUUCAACUUUGUGAUACACUUUCAAAGAGUCGGAUUGUUUGGGAAUGCAGUCCAAAAUGGGUGGUAAAUUUCAUCUAAAGCUAAAUAUUGGCGAGAGACCUAUAGCGAACAAGUACCGUGAGGGAAAGAUGAAAAGAACUUUGAAAAGAGAGUUAAACAGUACGUGAAAUUGUCAAAAGGGAAGCGUUUGACACCAGUGUUGUUUUUCUGAAAAUCAAUUAAAGAACUGUUUAUGCUAAGCUGUUUAGACUUUAUCAGCUAUCUGUUUAGUUUUGAGCUUUUCUUUAAUGCACUUUUCAGUUAACAAGUCAACAUCAAUUUCUUUUGCUGUAAAAAAGCUUGAGGAAGGUGGCUUGAGAUUCGUCUUAAGUGUUUAUAGCCUCUUGCCUAUGCAGUCGGAGAGAUUGAGGUCUGCAGCGUAGAUCCUUCGGGGCUAAAUGCAUUUGUGCUAAGUUAUAACAUUUUAUAGACAACUUGUUGACUAUGAUUUGUCUUGUAGCUUACUCGCUUAUGUUAUUUUACCUACGCUUAGGAUGUUGAAGUCAUCGUAUCGCGC
Molecule: ribosomal RNA, 774 nt
Filed under: uncultured Neocallimastigales
Lineage: Eukaryota; Fungi; Neocallimastigomycota; Neocallimastigomycetes; Neocallimastigales
Description: partial large subunit ribosomal RNA
Rfam family: Eukaryotic large subunit ribosomal RNA
Source: RNAcentral